UACGGAGGUUGCAAGCGUUAUCCGGAUUUAUUGGGUUUAAAGGGUGCGUAGGCGGAAUAAUAAGUCAGUGGUGAAAUCCUGUAGCUUAACUAUAGAAUUGCCAUUGAUACUGUUUUUCUUGAGUGCAGUUGAGGUAGGCGGAAUGUGUAAUGUAGCGGUGAAAUGCUUAGAUAUUACACAGAACACCAAUUGCGUAGGCAGCUUACUAAACUGUAACUGACGCUGAGGCACGAAAGCGUGGGGAG
This 245-nucleotide ribosomal RNA is filed under the name uncultured bacterium. RNAcentral describes it as "partial 16S ribosomal RNA". It matches the Rfam family "Bacterial small subunit ribosomal RNA", at positions 524 to 768 of the family's 1533-position model. The record is from RNAcentral.